GGGCCCAUGGUAUAGAGGUAACAUAUCUGCAUGGCAUGCAGAAGUCCGGGGUUCGAUUCCCCGUGGGUCCA
Molecule: transfer RNA, 71 nt
Filed under: Candidatus Nealsoniibacteriota bacterium
Lineage: Bacteria; Candidatus Nealsoniibacteriota
Description: tRNA-Ala
Rfam family: tRNA
About the family: Transfer RNA (tRNA) molecules are approximately 80 nucleotides in length.
Source: RNAcentral